AGUGAACGCUGGCGGUAGGCCUAACACAUGCAAGUCGAACGGCAGCACAGUAAGAGCCUGCUCUUACGGGUGGCGAGUGGCGGACGGGUGAGGAAUACAUCGGAAUCUACUUUUUCGUGGGGGAUAACGUAGGGAAACUUACGCUAAUACCGCAUACGACCUACGGGUGAAAGCAGUGGAUCUUCGGACCUUGCGCGAUUGAAUGAGCCGAUGUCGGAUUAGCUAGUUGGCGGGGUAAAGGCCCACCAAGGCGACGAUCCGUAGCUGGUCUGAGAGGAUGAUCAGCCACACUGGAACUGAGACACGGUCCAGACUCCUACGGGAGGCAGCAGUGGGGAAUAUUGGACAAUGGGCGCAAGCCUGAUCCAGCCAUACCGCGUGGGUGAAGAAGGCCUUCGGGUUGUAAAGCCCUUUUGUUGGGAAAGAAAAGCAGCAGGUUAAUACCCCGCUGUUCUGACGGUACCCAAAGAAUAAGCACCGGCUAACUUCGUG
Molecule: ribosomal RNA, 492 nt
Filed under: uncultured bacterium
Lineage: Bacteria
Description: partial 16S ribosomal RNA
Rfam family: Bacterial small subunit ribosomal RNA
Source: RNAcentral